UCUACCAUCAUCAAGCUUCAAACCCAAAUCAAGCUUCAAACCGAAACAAAACCACAAGAAUUUCCAUGAUCCUGUUUAUCCAAAACCAAACAAAUCAAAACACCAGUGACAUCAUAACAAGCAAUGAAUCAACCGUACAACACAACCAGUGACACCGGUUGUUCUGGUGACAUUCCGAUCUACCUUUUUCGGUAACAUACUCAUGUUCCGAUUUUGUACCGCCGGAGAAGACGAAGACGACAGUUGUGUCGGUGGAACUUUUCAUUAAAGCAGAAGCAAUCUGGCAACAGAAAUACGAAGACGACAGUUGUGGCGGUAAAAGCAAUGAUGGCUUGAUUGUCGGCGACGGUGGUUCAUAUGUAGUACCAUGGUCGGCCGGAAGGGUGUAGUGGGGGUGGGAUUGUCAGGAAGAAACAGGGGCGGUGGUGGUGGUUCUGGCAGGGGUGGUGAUGAUGGCGGAAGUGGUGGUUGUGGCAGAAAACUUCAAAAUUUAUUCGCUUUUAGGGAUGGCGGCAGGAGACAAAAGAAACUUGAAUUCAAACAGCAAAACCAAUCCUCCUCAAUUCAAAUCUGGAAUCAUCAAUAACUCAGACUUCCUUGUCAGGAGACACAAGAUUGAGCAACAGAGAAGAUCUUUGCCCAUUGCUUCACUUGAGAAAAAGGCUUGUAUAAGAGGUUCAGAGAAAUGAUACUUUGAUAAUUGUCGGUGAAACCGGAAGUGGGAAGACAACACAUAAGUUUUCACCAUCCUUAUAAAUUUCUGAUUUGGCUCGAACAAGGAGACGGUGGCAGUUGUGGUUAUGGUGAAGUGUGGAGAUGGUGGUGG
Molecule: long non-coding RNA, 826 nt
Organism: Helianthus annuus (common sunflower)
Lineage: Eukaryota; Viridiplantae; Streptophyta; Magnoliopsida; Asterales; Asteraceae
Exons: 3
Source: RefSeq, a predicted model, not a curated record